UACAGCACUAACAUGCGCAUAUUAUCGUUGUAGCCAACUGCCAACGCUCUUCCACUAGCUCAACCUCAUCCUCCACUCCAAGGCUCAAAAUGGAAAGCCAAGCCCUUGCCCUUGCUAAACUACGCUCAUCCAGUACCCGUUUGAAGAAAUUACCCAGAGACGAUCUGCACGCACCAAACCCACUGAGUUCCUCUAUUCAAUUGUCAAAACGGAGCCCUAAAUCUAUCUCAGACGGGCUCCAGAAGGACACCAAAAAGGACCUGUCUCUGAUUCUGCGAACGGACGCUGCUGUAGAAGGCAUUGCGAGGAAAGCGAACUCGAGAAAGUAUAAACAGCUGUGGCCUAAAGCUGUUUUGGAGGCCCUGGACGAGGCUAUCAGAGAGAAUCAAUGGGAGAGUGCUCUCAAGAUUUUUGGAUUGCUUCGUCAGCAACGUUGGUACGAGGCAAGAUGCCAAACAUACACAAAGUUGUUAAUGAUGCUUGGCAAGUGCAGUCAACCUGCGCAGGCCGGCUUGCUUUUUGAGAUCAUGUUAUCUGAAGGGCUUAGACCUACUCUUGAUGUCUAUACUGCUCUUGUAAGUUCUUAUGGGCAAUGUGGCCUUCUUGACAAGGCUUUAUCAACUCUUGAGGAUAUGAAAUCAAUCUCUGACUGCAAACCAGAUAUAUACACGUAUUCUAUUCUUAUUAGCUGUUGCACUAAGUUUCAUCGUUUUGAUCUGAUUGGACGGAUUCGUGCUGAGAUGUCAUAUCUGGGGAUUGAAUGCAGCACUGUCACAUACAAUACUAUUAUCAACGGAUACGGUAAGGGGGAAAUGUUUGAACUAAUGGAGGAUACACUGACGGAAAUGAUUGAAAGUGAAAGCUGCCUUCCUGAUAUUUUCACGUUAAAUACUUUUGUCAGGGCUUAUGGGAAAUUAGGGCAGAUUGAGAAAAUGGAGGAGUGGUAUAAUGAAUUCCAGUUAAUGGGAAUACAGCCAGACAUGAAGACAUUCAAUAUCCUGAUCAAAUCGUAUGGAAAAGCAGGCAUGUAUGAGAAGAUGAGGUCAGUUAUGUAUUAUAUGGAGAAAAGAUUUUUCUCUCCAACAAUUGUUACUUUUAAUACAGUCAUCGAGGUGUUUGGAAAAGCUGGAAAUAUUGAAAAGAUGGAUACAUACUUCAAGAAAAUGAAGCAUCAAGGAAUCAAGCCGAAUGCUAUUACCUACUGCUCUCUUGUUAGUGCUUACAGUAAAGCUGGACAUAUGGUAAAAGUUGAUUCGAUUUUGAGGCAAGUAGAGAAUUCGGAUGUAAAACUAGAUACUCCUUUUUAUAACUGCAUUAUCAGUGCAUAUGGUCAGACUGGUGAUGUGGAAAGGAUGGGUGAGUUAUUCUUGAAAAUGAAAGAUAGAGGAUGCAAACCCGAUAAUGUCACCUUUGCUACCAUGAUCCAAGCCUACAAUGCACAAGGCAUGAAUGAGGCUGCUGAAAAAUUGGAGAGAAAGAGGAUUGCAGUUGAAGAGAAAUUUGGCAUGAAUUUGAUUGGAUGGUAGCAUGAUUUAUUGUUUUGGACAGCAACUCUCACAAAUGCUCAAUGUUGGUCAGAUCUCGGGAAUGGUAAUUGCUUCCUUGUAACCACCGUUAUAGCAGGUCUUAUUGUAAGCUUCUAGAUUUACUUCCCUCUGUUUUUGGUUAUCUUGUACGUUACACAUAUUUGCAUGCUACUGUAUAUAGUGCCUUAAAGCAAAAUACUUCUGGUAAUUGAAGGAUGUAUGCAUCAAAUGGUCCAACAUGGCCCAAAGGACUGGCCAUUUUUUACAAGCGGGGGUGUCCAAGGUGACCUAAUGUUAGAAGCAGGGACAAGUGGACAAUCCCCACCCCUCCUCCCCAGCAGGGACCCCCCCCCCCCCCCCCCCCCCCACAAAAAAAAAAAAAAGAUUUGAAUAUGACAAAGUUGUCGUUUACAGAUACUAUUGUUUUCACCUCUUCACUCCCUCAUAUUUUGAGACAUAUUGGCACAUGAGAAUGCAUCACUAUAGGUUAAUGGUGAAAGGUAAAAAGGACAGUGAACACAUGGUGGAAAUUUCAUGGGGUCCCCAGAGGCAUAGAAGUGAAUGCAUAUGUGAGGAGGAAUGGUUGCAUCCACUGCAAGAAGGGAAAAGAAUAAAAUUGCUAGAGACAAUUUGCUGCAGAAAUCAAGGACAAAUGAUUGCACCAGUGAGAAAGAUGAUUUGAAAGGCCAUUCAGGUCGGUGCCAUGAGACCCAUAAUUGAACAGAAAUCAAACCUUAGUGACUACAAAACUUUUGUCUUGCAAACCCAGAUGAUAGGAGUUAUUUAUUUAUUUUUUAAUUAUUAUAAUUAUUAUAAUAGGUUUUUGCACAGUUUAUUACCCCAAAAAUAAAGAUCAGCCCCAAUUAAUUAUUAUAUUAUUUGGUGCUGUGCAAGUUGUACGUACUACUUUCCUCAAGAAGUACUUUCAGUUCAACAAAUUAUCUCUAUA
Carya illinoinensis is the source of this 2475-nucleotide RNA transcript. It is a transcript of the gene named pentatricopeptide repeat-containing protein At3g53170, with no coding region annotated. The transcript is spliced from 5 exons. NCBI's taxonomy places the organism in Eukaryota, Viridiplantae, Streptophyta, Magnoliopsida, Fagales, Juglandaceae. The record is from RefSeq and is a predicted model, not a curated record.